AAAGUGAUCACUCUCCUUACAAUCCAUCCUCAUCGUCAAAGAAAACCGGCCCAACACUUUCAAAAGAUGAGCCUGGGUGCUUAAAUUCAUAACUUUGCUAGACACUAAAAAUCAUGGACUGAACUGACACUGGAUUUGUGGCUUAUUAUAACAUUCUAUAACCC
Molecule: long non-coding RNA, 164 nt
Organism: Chelonia mydas (Green sea turtle)
Lineage: Eukaryota; Metazoa; Chordata; Testudines; Cheloniidae
Exons: 3
Source: RefSeq, a predicted model, not a curated record